Molecule: ribosomal RNA, 441 nt
Filed under: uncultured bacterium
Lineage: Bacteria
Description: partial 16S ribosomal RNA
Rfam family: Bacterial small subunit ribosomal RNA
Source: RNAcentral
CCUACGGGGGGCAGCAGUGGGGGAUAUUGCACAAUGGGGGGAACCCUGAUGCAGCGACGCCGCGUGGGUGAAGGAGCGUUUCGGAGCGUAAAGCCCUAUCGGCAGGGAAGAAGAAGGACGGUACCUGACUACGAAGCCCCGGCUUACUACGUGCCAGCAGCCGCGGUAAUACGUAGGGGGGAAGCGUUAUCCGGAUUUACUGGGUGGAAAGGGGGCGCAGACGGAAGGGCAAGCCAGGAGUGAAAGCCCGGGGCGCAACCCCGGGACUGCUCUUGGAACUGCGAGGAUGGAGUGCAGGAGGGGCAGGCGGAAUUCGUGGUGUAGCGGUGAAAUGCUUAGAUAUCACGAAGAACUCCGAUGGCGAAGGCAGCUUACUAAACUGCCACUGACAUUGAUGCUCGAAAGUGUGGGUAUCAAACAGGAUUAGAUACCCGGGUAGUC